Molecule: ribosomal RNA, 252 nt
Filed under: uncultured bacterium
Lineage: Bacteria
Description: partial 16S ribosomal RNA
Rfam family: Bacterial small subunit ribosomal RNA
Source: RNAcentral
UACGGAGGAUCCAAGCGUUAUCCGGAUUUAUUGGGUUUAAAGGGUGCGUAGGCGGCUUAUUAAGUCAGGGGUGAAAGACGGUGGCUCAACCAUCGCAGUGCCUUUGAUACUGAUGAGCUUGAAUGAACUAGAGGUAGGCGGAAUGUGACAAGUAGCGGUGAAAUGCAUAGAUACGUCACAGAACACCGAUUGCGAAGGCAGCUUACUAUGGUUUAUUGACGCUGAGGCACGAAAGCGUGGGGAUCGAACAGG